GACGAACCGCGCGAACGUUGUUCGGAAUCACUGGGCUUAAAGGGCGCGUAGGCGGCUUGCCAAGUCAGGGGUGAAAUCUUUCGGCUUAACCGGAAAAGUGCCUUUGAUACUGGCGAGCUCGAGUGAGGUAGGGGCAGAUGGAACUGUUGGUGGAGCGGUGAAAUGUGUUGAUAUCAACAGGAACGCCGGUGGCGAAAGCGAUCUGCUGGACCUCUUCUGACGCUGAGGCGCGAAAGCUAGGGGAGCAAACGGG
This 253-nucleotide ribosomal RNA is filed under the name uncultured bacterium. Its description in RNAcentral is "partial 16S ribosomal RNA". It matches the Rfam family "Bacterial small subunit ribosomal RNA", at positions 524 to 776 of the family's 1533-position model. The record is from RNAcentral.